AGAGUCACUCCUACGGGAGGCAGCAGUGGGGAAUUUUGGACAAUGGGGGCAACCCUGAUCCAGCAAUGCCGCGUGUGUGAAGAAGGCCUUCGGGUUGUAAAGCACUUUUGUCCGGAAAGAAAUGGCGCUGGUUAAUACCUGGCGUCGAUGACGGUACCGGAAGAAUAAGCACCGGCUAACUACGUGCCAGCAGCCGCGGUAAUACGUAGGGUGCGAGCGUUAAUCGGAAUUACUGGGCGUAAAGCGUGCGCAGGCGGUUUUGUAAGACAGGCGUGAAAUCCCCGGGCUUAACCUGGGAAUUGCGCUUGUGACUGCAAGGCUAGAGUGCGUCAGAGGGGGGUAGAAUUCCACGUGUAGCAGUGAAAUGCGUAGAGAUGUGGAGGAAUACCGAUGGCGAAGGCAGCCCCCUGGGACGUGACUGACGCUCAUGCACGAAAGCGUGGGGAGCAAACAGGAUUAGAUACCCUGGUAGUCCACGCCCUAAACGAUGUCAACUAGUUGUUGGGGAUUCAUUUCCUCAGUAACGUAGCUAACGCGUGAAGUUGACCGCCUGGGGAGUACGGUCGCAAGAUUAAAACUCAAAGGAAUUGACG
Molecule: ribosomal RNA, 593 nt
Filed under: uncultured Cupriavidus sp.
Lineage: Bacteria; Pseudomonadati; Pseudomonadota; Betaproteobacteria; Burkholderiales; Burkholderiaceae
Description: bacterial SSU rRNA
Rfam family: Bacterial small subunit ribosomal RNA
Source: RNAcentral